AGAGAGAGACAUGCGCGCAUAUCAAUAAGCGGAGGAAAAGAAACUAACAAGGAUUCCCCUAGUAACGGCGAGUGAAGCGGGAAGAGCUCAAAUUUGAAAUCUUAAAGGGUUUCCCUUUACGAAUUGUAGUUUAAAGAAGUGUUUUCUGUUGAGGUUUUGGUAAAAGUUCUUUGGAAUAGGACAUCAUAGAGGGUGAGAAUCCCGUAUUUGACCUUUACUUUCAACUUUGUGAUACACUUUCAAAGAGUCGGAUUGUUUGGGAAUGCAGUCCAAAAUGGGUGGUAAAUUUCAUCUAAAGCUAAAUAUUGGCGAGAGACCGAUAGCGAACAAGUACCGUGAGGGAAAGAUGAAAAGAACUUUGAAAAGAGAGUUAAACAGUACGUGAAAUUGUCAAAGAGGGAAGCGUUUGACACCAGUGUUGUUUUUCUGAAAAUCAAUUAAAGAACUGUUUAUGCUAAGCUUGUUUAGACUUUAUCAGCUAUCUGUUUAGUUUUGAGCUUUUCUUUAAUGCACUUUUCAGUUAACAAGUCAACAUCAAUUUCUUUUGCUGUAAAAAAGCUUGAGGAAGGUGGCUUGAGAUUCGUCUUAAGUGUUUAUAGCCUCUUGCCUAUGCAGUCGGAGAGAUUGAGGUCUGCAGCGUAGAUCCUUCGGGGCUAAAUGCAUUUGUGCUAAGUUAUAGCAUUUUAUAGACAACUUGUUGACUAUGAUUUGUCUUGUAGCUUACUCGCUUAUGUUAUUUUACCUACGCUUAGGAUGUUGAGCGCAUGUCUCUCUCU
RNAcentral lists this ribosomal RNA (776 nucleotides) under uncultured Neocallimastigales. RNAcentral describes it as "partial large subunit ribosomal RNA". It matches the Rfam family "Eukaryotic large subunit ribosomal RNA", at positions 23 to 616 of the family's 3401-position model. Lineage: Eukaryota; Fungi; Neocallimastigomycota; Neocallimastigomycetes; Neocallimastigales. The record is from RNAcentral.